ACCUGGCUGGCUCUGUUGGUGGAGCAUUUGACUCAUGAUCUUGGGGUUGUAGGUUCAAGCCCCACGUUGGGUG
This 73-nucleotide transfer RNA is filed under the name Ailuropoda melanoleuca (giant panda). It matches the Rfam family "tRNA". From Rfam's summary of the family: Transfer RNA (tRNA) molecules are approximately 80 nucleotides in length. The record is from Rfam by way of RNAcentral. Lineage: Eukaryota; Metazoa; Chordata; Mammalia; Carnivora; Ursidae.